RNAcentral lists this long non-coding RNA (676 nucleotides) under Athene cunicularia (burrowing owl). RNAcentral describes it as "lncRNA (ENSACUG00000004421.1)". The record is from RNAcentral. Lineage: Eukaryota; Metazoa; Chordata; Aves; Strigiformes; Strigidae.
GCCCGUCCCACCUCUCUCUGCCACUCUGUCCCUCUCUCUUGUUUUCUCCUUCUUCUCCUUCAACUCUUCCCUCACCUCUCCCCUGCUCCAACGGAGCAGCCCGGGGAGGUGGCCAUGGGGCUGGGGGCGGGGCCGGGCCGGGGGACGGUGUCCCCGCAGGGUCAGACCGCGGGAACCGGCGCCCCGGGGCAUGCUGGGAGCUGCAGUCCUGGGCUGCCGGGUGGCCAUGUUGGCUCCCGGGAGGUGCAGCCUCUGCUCCAGCUGCGGCCCGGCUGAGGGUCGGAAUCAUUCUUUCUACCUUUCUGCUGGACUGUGGCCUCCAUGGUGUAUUGAUUAACAGAAAAAAGACUCUACAACUCAAAUAGAGUUAUAAAGCAGGAGUCUGGGGCUGCUACCCAGGAUUAGGCCUCCCUAAAGCAGAGCUGAGUAGGCUCCAGGACUUGCCUGGGAGGAAUCAUGUUUGGAUCGUGUAGGUGGGAGAUUUUCUCAGAAGGUGAAAAAUAUUUCAGGUGGCAUCCUUGAAGGCGUCUGAGGUUGCUACCUGGGAUCUUAUAUCCCAGUAGCAGCGCUCAGUAGAGUCUGGGCCAUGUCUGGGAGGAAUCUUGGUCACAUCCCAGAGAGGAGGCCAUUAUUCAGGGAGAAUAAAAUAUCUGUGUAUAUUCCUUGGAGUAGUCUG